GCGGGGAUUCGACUUCCCCUGGGGGUA
RNAcentral lists this transfer RNA (27 nucleotides) under Triticum turgidum (rivet wheat). RNAcentral's name for it is "partial tRNA-Glu". Lineage: Eukaryota; Viridiplantae; Streptophyta; Magnoliopsida; Poales; Poaceae. The record is from RNAcentral.